Non-coding RNA from Malus domestica (apple), 3002 nucleotides. NCBI's taxonomy places the organism in Eukaryota, Viridiplantae, Streptophyta, Magnoliopsida, Rosales, Rosaceae. The record is from RefSeq and is a predicted model, not a curated record.
UCUUGCAUGCUCCUCAAAGACUGACCCUUCACUGUGAUUUUUCUUAUAAUUUCUUGGCAUGCAAAGCAAGCUGCUUUAAAGGGUCCUUUAAUUUAUACUGAUGUGCCGACGUGAGUUAAGUUAAUUGGUUGGUAUGUGGUCGGCUUGUUUAUUCAAAUUCGCUUUCAUGCAAAUUAGAGUAUUCUAGAAUAUCGUAAUUUCAGAAGAAAGACGAGUUUUUUACCUAUAAGUCCUACGUAAUAUUAAACUUUAGAAGAAAAACACUUCAAACAGUUUGAAUAUUUCAGAAGAAAAAUUUAAUAUGAGAAACGGAUCAAUGAGGUGUUUUUCGAUGCGGUUGAACUCUUGAAGUGUUUUUGUAGUUUGUACGUAAUGAAGCAUGUUAUGAUCAUCUUGUGUUAUUUUCUGGGAAUUUGAAACAAGUAAUUUAGUUUGGCAUCAUGUCAUAUUUGUGUAACAUUUUGGUCAAAGUUUUUAUGAUAUUCCGAAUUUGGAAUGUACAUGUAUGCAAAUGGAUGUCACAGGUUUACUUACAUGGAGGGUUGCAUGCCAGUUCCCAAUUCCUGAAGGAUUUUGAGGCCAGGUGCAUUGCGGAAUGCAGGGGCUCCCUAGGCUUGUCAAAUGCAAUGCAUUUUCAAAGAGGUUCCUUUAAAGCACAUGCUACAAAGUCUUUGUAUCCGAACUUCGUGAAAAGCGCAGAACAAUCCGUCUCCGUGGAUUUUGUUUACAGGAGUUCCUGCUCAAAUGAAUCAGACCAUCUUAAGUGCCAGUAUUCAGACAUGUGGAGUUCCUCUACUAGAACCAUGUAUGAACAACACCUGCCGGGAAGGGUGGAACUGAAAUUUGUAGACACCUCUAGCCUAUUGGCUCCUGAUGAGGGACUCGUUGACUUUACUAAUCCGUCGACUGAAAAUGAAAGUAUCUUAUCGGCACCCAUAGAACCUGAAAGCAUAUCAGCAACUGAUUUAACACCAGGGAAUCCCACCUCUGUAUCCGACUCCUUAGACAUGGAUAGUGAUAAAUUAUCCAGUGUGAAAACUAGUAUUGAGGACUUCUUUGAUGGGGUUAGCAAGUCUUUCAGUGCUUCGCUUGAUAAGGGAGAAUAUACUGUUAAAACGUCACUAGAUACAAUCACUUCAUCAACAACAACUGUUGUUAAAAGUGCAACUGAAGCAGUGGAUAAUACUGUUGGCGGAUUGUUUUCAACGGUGGAUCAAGUGGGACAAUAUGGUGGUAGUAAAACGACAAAUUUUUCAAGCGACUUUAAGGAAGCCACAAGUAAAGGAGCUGUUUUUGCUAUUGAUGUCUUGAGACGUUCAAUUGUUGUGGUGGAGGAUUCUCUAUCAAAUGGGGCUUCCUUUUCUGUUAGUUCUUACCAGUCUGCCAAGGACUUUCUUCCUCCUGACAUCAGUGAUGCGCUAAAUUUGUCUGAAAAGAGAUUUGUAGAGCUCUUGGGGCCUGCCAAAACUGCUUUUCAACAGGUUUAUAUUUCGAUUGAGGGGUUGGAGGAAAAUCUUGGGUUGGACCCUAAUGAUCCAAUCGUUCCAUUUGUUCUAUUUCUUGGCACCUCAGCCAUUUUAUGGGUCAUUUAUCGGGUGUGGAUAUACAGUGGUUACGCUGGAGAUUUAUCUCCUCAGUCGACAUUGGAGCUCUUGACAGGGAAAGAGAAUGCUGUGCUCAUUGAUGUCCGACCUGAGGUUCUGAGAGAAAGAGGGGGUAUUCCUGAUCUUCGACGAGCAGCUCGCUUUCGCUAUGCAAGUGUGGCUCUACCUGAGGCUGAUGGCGCUGUAUGGAAAUUAGUGAAGAGUGGAAGGGAUCUUAAUGACACCUUAACUGCUGCUGUUAUUUGGAACUUGAAGAUUGUUCAGGGCAGGUCCAAGGUCAUAGUUAUGGAUGUUGAUGGCACUCUUUCCAAAGGUAUUGAAAGAUCCUUGAGAAAGCUUGGGCUCAAGAAACCGUACUUGGUUCAAGGUGGCUUUCAAUCUUGGGUGAAAUAUGGUCUCCGUAUUAAGGAACUCAAACCUGAGACAACAUUUACCAUACUCAAUGAGUGGCUGAGGUUCUCUUGUAUAUGUAACGUGGAGUUGGGGACCCAUUUUUUUUAGCUUUGUUGAAAAAGAGGUGAACGAGAUAAAUAUGUUUGACAACCAGAGCAAUAAUCAUGACUGCAUUCAACACAGAGAUUAUUGCUGUUUUCCCCCUUUCUGCCGCAUUUUUACAGAAUUGUAAGACCAGAUUUGAGCUUUUCACUUAUGCACAAUUGCAAAAAAUUGUAUCAUUUUAGGAUGCUGAGGCAAUUCUGGAGGAUAUCAGUCCUUCUCCGGUGCAAGUUCUUGGGUCUGGUGUGGGAUUGAUUGCAGCAUUGUAUGCACUACUAGUUAAAUUUUGCUAGUGAAUUGUGCCGGAUUUCUUCAUCUCUAAUCAGCAUGAUUCAUUGGAUACGGAGUGGGAGAAGACGUUACAACUGAUUGGUGUUGUUGGCGUUGGUCAGACCAUUUAUCGGUGGGUGGCAUCUUAUGACACCGCAGAAGAUUUUAAACAAGACGUGAGGCUGCUGCUUGCUCCUGUUAGACUGGGCGCUCAGGCAUUUUCAUGGACUGCUGGAAAAUUGGAAUCGAACGGCAUUGGACUGCCAACAUCUCCUUCAUCCUCAGAUGUUUAAAACCGAGUAUUGCAGGCUGCUGCAAAGCAUCAAUCUCAACCGUCUGAUACGGAAGGCAUCCAAGAUCCAUCUCCUGACUCAACACUUACAAUCAAGGAGAAUGUCGAUCUAUCAGAAGCAUAAAGGUUGAUAUUUUCUUGCAGUAGGCAUCUCCUGACUCGUGUUCUAGCUCGAAAGUUGAUCUGAGCUGUAUUAGCAAAUCAAGGAAGGUUAAUGAAGCUAAAUAAGUGAUAAUUCUGUAACAAUGUGCACUCAAGUUGGCUCUCUCAAGUUUCCUCCUUAUACAAGCCAACUCUCCACCCCUUAUUUUAAUAUACAAACAACGUGAUUUUAAGCUCAA